UUUAUGUGGUAAUUAGACCAUUAGUUAGUUGAUGGACAAAAAUAGACAUAAGAAAUGAGAGAAAUAGAUUUUUUUUAAGUGGGGGCAUAUUAGUCAUUUGGUAAUAAAAAAAAUAAAAUGGGAAAAAGAUGACAAAAAUCAUCAUCUUCCUCAUUAGUUGCUGCCGAAAUUUGAAGGAAGCCAUAGCUAAGGUUUCUUUGCUUUCUCAAGCUCAUAAUCAAGAAAGACGUGAAGAUUAUCUCAAACGAGGAAAAGAAAAGAUAGUGGAGUGAAGUGCAAAAUUACGAUAUUUUGCACCGAGGUAAGUAAACACGUGACUUGAUGUAUUAUUUUGACAUUAAUUGAUAUAUGUUGAGAUUUAUUUGGAAUUAAAAUAAAUGUUUGGCCAUAUCCUAAAAAUGUUGUUAAAUCGGGAAAGGUGGUAAAGGGUUGCAAUAUAUGAUUUAUGGGUUGAACACUCGGAAUAAGCCGAAGUAUGUUGUACAUAAAGGGGUUGCUGUGUGCUGAUUCCCCGAUUCAUUGGUGGUGCUAUGUGCGAUAUCCACCGUAUCUUUGAAAUGUGAAAGGGGGUUGCUAUGUGCUGAUUCCCCCGAGGGGUUGCUAAGUGCUGAUUCCCCAGUUCAUUGGUGGUGCUAAGUGCGAUAUCCACCGUAUCUCUGAAAUAAAAAGGGGGUUGCUAUGUGCUGAUUCCCCCAAGGGGUUGCUAAGUGCUGAUUCCCCGAUUAAGUGGUGGUGCUAAGUGCGAGAUCCACCAAUAACGGUUAACAUUCCGAGUGCUCAACGAAAAAGUGUGGAAGGUGAAUAUUGCCAUAUGGUGGAAAUUUUUAUGGGGCAAAUAUUGAGUUGGAUACUAAAUCGAUCCAUGUAUGAGAUGGGAGAAAAUAUCAAAAACGAAAAAAAGAACGAUUUAGUUAUAAACUGUGUUGAACAACAGCAGAUGGGUAACUUUGAAAAAUCACCAUAAAUGGUGAAAAAUGAAUGGGAAGCUGAAUAAUAUAUGAAAUUGAAGCUGAAUGUGUCUAUUUUCAUAUGAAAUAAAUAGAAUAAGCAAAAGAGUUGUAUUUUUGGAGAUAUCUGAAUUUUACUGAAACAGGGCUGGAUUGAUUUCGGGAUCCCCUGUUCUAACUUUGGAAAAUCACCAAAAAUUGUACAAAAAUAAUUAUGGUGUGAAAUUUAUAUUCCUGGAUUCCUUAUUGACUCUAUUUUUAAUAGAAACAAGCGAAACCAUUUUUAAAAUUUUGUACAGAGAGUUAAGUGAAUUUUUUUGAGGAAGGGUCAGAACCGUUGGGCAGUGAAACAGGGGAAGUUUUAAUGAAUAAACUGUACUAAUUGGCUGGGUAAAAAAUUCUGAAAUUUUUAUGGUGAAAUGGUAUAUGAGUCUAGUUUCAGGGAAAAUUUACGAAACUCAAUUUGGAGCCCUGUAGCUCCGGAUAAAAAUAAAUUAGCGACUAUGAUGCAGAAAAACAGUUUGCUGGAAAUUGCCUAAACAAUGAAGUUAUUCAUGAAUAAGUUUAUAUUUUGGUGUAGUUAUGUGAGUAAUUACUUAUUUAUCAUGUGUUUACUUACUAAGCUAUAUGCUUACUCGAUUUUAUUUUUCCCUUGAUUAUAGUGACUUCCGACAACUCGGAAAUUUGGAACGAAGUCAGACAAUCAUCCAC
RNAcentral lists this long non-coding RNA (1658 nucleotides) under Gossypium barbadense (sea-island cotton). Its description in RNAcentral is "long non-coding RNA (GBAR_LNC019700)". The record is from RNAcentral. Lineage: Eukaryota; Viridiplantae; Streptophyta; Magnoliopsida; Malvales; Malvaceae.